This 515-nucleotide ribosomal RNA is filed under the name uncultured bacterium. RNAcentral describes it as "partial 16S ribosomal RNA". It matches the Rfam family "Bacterial small subunit ribosomal RNA", at positions 28 to 523 of the family's 1533-position model. The record is from RNAcentral.
GAUGAACGCUGGCGGCGUGCCUAAUACAUGCAAGUCGAGCGAAUGGAUUAAGAGCUUGCUCUUAUGAAGUUAGCGGCGGACGGGUGAGUAACACGUGGGUAACCUGCCCAUAAGACUAGGAUAACUCCGGGAAACCGGGGCUAAUACCGGAUAACAUUUUGAACCGCAUGGUUCGAAAUUGAAAGGCGGCUUCGGCUGUCACUGAGGGAUGGACCCGCGUCGCAUUAGCUAGUUGGUGAGGUAACGGCUCACCAAGGCAACGAUGCGUAGCCGACCUGAGAGGGUGAUCGGCCACACUGGGACUGAGACACGGCCCAGACUCCUACGGGAGGCAGCAGUGGGGAAUCUUCCGCAAUGGACGAAAGUCUGACGGAGCAACGCCGCGUGAGUGAUGAAGGCUUUCGGGUCGUAAAACUCUGUUGUUAGGGAAGAACAAGUGCUAGUUGAAUAAGCUGGCACCUUGACGGUACCUAACCAGAAAGCCACGGCUAACUACGUGCCAGCAGCCGCGGUAA